AUGAAUGGCCUGUUCUGGAACUGCAGAGGAGCAGGGAAGAAAGGGAUGACUACCUGCUUCUCUGACAUCAUCAAAGAUCAUUCCCUAGAUUUCAUUUGCCUUCAAGAAACUAUGAAGAAAACCUUCCCUCCUAAAAGUCUUAGGAAAAUUGAUCGUAUGAAUAACUUUGAUUGGAAUUGGGUGCCCUCGAAUGGUAAAGCAGGUGGUAUCCUGUGUGGUGCCAGGAAGGAAACCUUGGAAGUGAUCUCC
Molecule: ribosomal RNA, 249 nt
Filed under: Triticum aestivum (bread wheat)
Lineage: Eukaryota; Viridiplantae; Streptophyta; Magnoliopsida; Poales; Poaceae
Description: partial small subunit ribosomal RNA
Source: RNAcentral